CAGUAUUUUAAACUUAUCUGAUAUAUGCAUAUAUACAACCAGUUUAGUUGUGGUUACCGAUGUCUCAUAUUCUGUCACUGUGACCUGAAUAAAGCUUUCCCAUUUCAGCCCUGCCCCGCGUUUCUAGGUCUAGUGCAUUCAUGCGGACAGCGGCAACUGGCAACAAUACUAGGAAAGUGAGAACACAUAUAAACAGGUGAUCACCUGACAAUCCCAUUCCCGCAUCGUACUUGCCCACUCCUCAGAUAUCGCAGACAACAAGAAGCUGUGCAUCAUGAAGAUUACUUUACUUGUGGUGGUGAUUCUCUCUGUUCUUUUGGUUCUGGUGGACACUUCGCCAAGUUUUAGGGCUGGUUCUUUAAACUUGAGAAUGAAGCGAAGCCAAUGCUGUUCCUGCAUACCCUUGGCUCCAGGGAAAAAACAUCUCACUUACGACUGCUGCAGGUGUCCUGAUAAACCCACACCUUGGCCUCGCCCUAAUUUUUAAAUGCCGGCCAUGCAAACAAAAGUGCAGAUGGACCUUAAUACUAAUUCCCGGGAGCUUCCGGCAACUGCAGAUUGAGGGAGAGUCUUGAAGCUAUGAAGCAUCAGCUCAUAAGACGAACUGAGGAAAUGCAGUAUUCCCCGUGUUUAAUGUUGUUGUUUUUGUUAUUUUACUUUAUAGUGUUAUCUGCGGGAAUGAUUGUAUAACCGCAUCAUUUAUUAUAGUUAGUCAUAGUUUUUCCUUUGUUAUUAUCUGUGAUAUAUUUAAACUGAAAUAAAGGCUGCCAGAAAUAAGGAAAUUCUUGCUAAGUCCUAGAUUCCCACGUAAACUUUUUUGUUGUUUUCUUAAACUUUCUAAACCAGCCAACGAACCGCGAGCAGACACCCAUCCACCCAGACUCUGCAUCCACCUGCUUUAAUUUCAGUGU
Molecule: long non-coding RNA, 911 nt
Organism: Macrobrachium nipponense
Lineage: Eukaryota; Metazoa; Arthropoda; Malacostraca; Decapoda; Palaemonidae
Exons: 4
Source: RefSeq, a predicted model, not a curated record